GGGCAGUGAUGAACUAAUAAAGAUACCAUCAAACUCUGAUAUCUUACAUGAGGGACUCAAAGUGCCUUUUAUCUUCUGAGCCU
This is a small nucleolar RNA of Nymphaea colorata (pocket water lily), 83 nucleotides long. RefSeq annotates it as small nucleolar RNA snoR116. NCBI's taxonomy places the organism in Eukaryota, Viridiplantae, Streptophyta, Magnoliopsida, Nymphaeales, Nymphaeaceae. The record is from RefSeq and is a predicted model, not a curated record. The transcript has a single exon.